RNAcentral lists this long non-coding RNA (627 nucleotides) under Olea europaea subsp. europaea. The record is from RNAcentral. Lineage: Eukaryota; Viridiplantae; Streptophyta; Magnoliopsida; Lamiales; Oleaceae.
AAUUAAUUUUUUAAAUCUUGUUGAAAUAAAGCAAGUUACUUAAUUUAAUAGUAAAAUAAACUUUCAUUUUGAAAUAAGAAAAAAUAAAUUAUCAACAUAUGUUUAGGAAAUAAAAAGUUUUACUUUUUUAUUUAAGCUUUGCCAACAUGUUUAAUAGUAAAAUAUUCAUUUCAUGUGACCUAUUACUUCUUAUCAACUUUUUAAUCACAUAUUUCAUUACUUUUAUCGAAAUCUACUAAAAAUCUAAUUUUUAGCAAAACUAUGCAACAACGUUCCAAACAUGUCAUCACGUGACAAACCGUAUUGAAUACGAGCAUAAAAAGAGAAUUGCAUAUCGAGUCUCCCUUAAGACUUGUCAUUUUUUGCUAACAUCACUGUUCGUAACUAAUUUUUCCAGGCAUUGAUCAAAUAGUCCAUCUUACCAUUUACAACCGUUGAAAAAUGUUUAUAACCUCAUCUAUCAAAUUGAAGGGUUGAGACAAGUACUUCUGUCCUCACUAGAUGCUUUGAAAAUGAUUGUAUUCCAGCAGAACUUUAGCUUAGUUUUUUUUUUUCAUUAGUGCACAUUUUUGUUUCCUUGUAAAUUAGUUAUAAGAAAAAGUUCAAAUCAAACUUUAAUUUUAACAA